Long non-coding RNA from Micropterus dolomieu (smallmouth bass), 434 nucleotides. RefSeq lists it as uncharacterized. The transcript is spliced from 4 exons. The record is from RefSeq and is a predicted model, not a curated record. NCBI's taxonomy places the organism in Eukaryota, Metazoa, Chordata, Actinopteri, Centrarchiformes, Centrarchidae.
AAAUUGAUGUUUGCUUUUUUUAUAUCUCUGUACAGCACUGAUUGUGCUCAGUAAAUACAUUUUGAUUGAUUGUUGUCGCUGGGCGGAGCUGUAACCGCGUCUGUCUCCCUGUCAGGGUCUGAAGGACCUGGCGAUCUCAGACUGCACCAGAGCGAUAGAGUUGAAUCCUGACUACGUGCGGGCGCUGCUGAGGAGGGCGGAGCUUUACGAGCAGACGGAGAAGCUGGACGAGGCGCUGGAGGACUACAAGAAGGUUCUGGACCGAGACCCGAACCAGACCAGCGCCAGGCAGGCCUGCAUGAGGUUACCUCAGCAGAUUCAGGAGAGAAACGAGAAGUUGAAGGAGGAGAUGAUGAGUAAACUGAAGGACCUGGGGAACCUGGUCCUGAGGCCUUUCGGACUCUCCACCAACAACUUCCAGGUGAACCAGGACG